AGGCUUAACACAUGCAAGUCGAGGGGUAACAUUGUGCUUGCACAGAUGACGACCGGCGCACGGGUGCGUAACGCGUAUAGAACCUACCUUUUACAGAGGAAUAGCCUUUAGAAAUGAAGAUUAAUGCCUCAUAGUAUUGUAGACUGGCAUCAGUUUAUAAUUAAAGAUUUAUCGGUAAAAGAUGGCUAUGCGUCCUAUUAGUUAGUUGGUAAGGUAACGGCUUACCAAGACAGCGAUAGGUAGGGGUCCUGAGAGGGAGAUCCCCCACACUGGUACUGAGACACGGACCAGACUCCUACGGGAGGCAGCAGUGAGGAAUAUUGGACAAUGGAGGAGACUCUGAUCCAGCCAUGCCGCGUGUAGGAAGAAUGCCCUAUGGGUUGUAAACUACUUUUAUACAGGAAGAAACACUGGUAUGUAUACCAGCUUGACGGUACUGUAAGAAUAAGGACCGGC
This 456-nucleotide ribosomal RNA is filed under the name uncultured Polaribacter sp. RNAcentral describes it as "bacterial SSU rRNA". It matches the Rfam family "Bacterial small subunit ribosomal RNA", at positions 44 to 497 of the family's 1533-position model. The record is from RNAcentral. Lineage: Bacteria; Pseudomonadati; Bacteroidota; Flavobacteriia; Flavobacteriales; Flavobacteriaceae.